Molecule: ribosomal RNA, 562 nt
Filed under: Odontaster meridionalis
Lineage: Eukaryota; Metazoa; Echinodermata; Asteroidea; Valvatida; Odontasteridae
Description: partial 16S ribosomal RNA
Rfam family: Bacterial large subunit ribosomal RNA
Source: RNAcentral
AUAUAUGUAAAGGGUCCUGCCUGCCCGGUGACUUAAGUUAAACGGCCGCGGUAUUUUGACCGUGCAAAGGUAGCAUAAUCAUUUGCCUCUUAAAUGGGGGCUGGUAUGAAUGGCAAGACGGAAAUCAAACUGUCUCUCUCUUAUAUUUUGAAGUUAAUAUUUUUGUGAAGAAACAGAAAUAGGAUCGUAGGACGAGAAGACCCUAUCGAGCUUUAGUAAAAAUAAGGUGUAAUUUUAUUAAUGCUGCUUUAUUGCUAAUUAGUUGUUAGUAAUAAUUUUUGAUUUUACUGUAAAAGCGGCAGAGUUGUACAUAUAUACUUGGGUUGGGGCAACCGCGGAGAAAAAGUAUCCUCCGUUAUUUUUAUUGGUAAAAAAUAAUUUUUCAAUAUAAAGUUUAUUAAGAGUGAGCCAUCUUUAAUGGUGAGUAAAAGAAUAAGUUACCGUAGGGAUAACAGCGUAAUUUUUUUGGAGAGUUCAUAUUGAUAAAAAAGUUUGCGACCUCGAUGUUGGAUCGGGAUUUCCUGGGGAUGCAGCAGUUCCUAAUGGUUGGUCUGUUCGACCA